UGGAGACCUAGGGGUCGCCCAGGAAUUCCGGCCCCAACAGGGAUGGGUGAGAUAACUGGCGUUUGAAGAGGCCAUUGAACCAAACUGGGAAAAGUGCUCGUUAGCCAGGGGAAGCCUCUGGAAGGCAGGCGACGACUCCCAGAUGGAAGAUUCAGUCUGUCUACAGCAGUGGCAGAAGAAGGAUCUGGGUUGGAGCCAAAAGGCAUUCCACCUAAGGUGGCGGAGGAGGCAGCUCUAGGUUCCUCCGGCAUCACCGGAUGGGAGUUCUCCAUCCUACUGCCAACCAGAAGGCAGCCCUAGAAGACCCAACUGUCCAGAGCCUCAGCUCUGUUGGAGAAAUGCCUCCAUGGCUGAAGCAAGUGCCAAGGCUAGUUCAACCCCAAGAAGUACCCAGAGCAGAGAAACCUUUGCACUCCACAGUAACAAGAACCAAAGGGUUACCAGAGGCACAGAAGGUACCCUUUUCUCUCACCCAUAAAAAUGCACGCCCUUGAGCCAGGGUAGUAUGAGGGGGACCUGGGAUCGGCCUGCUCUAAGAAAAACUGAAGCUUCCUGCUA
Long non-coding RNA from Myodes glareolus (Bank vole), 558 nucleotides. RefSeq lists it as uncharacterized. Lineage: Eukaryota; Metazoa; Chordata; Mammalia; Rodentia; Cricetidae. The record is from RefSeq and is a predicted model, not a curated record.